Aegilops tauschii subsp. strangulata is the source of this 1530-nucleotide non-coding RNA. The record is from RefSeq and is a predicted model, not a curated record. NCBI's taxonomy places the organism in Eukaryota, Viridiplantae, Streptophyta, Magnoliopsida, Poales, Poaceae.
CGGUGACAACCAAACAAAUAAACAAGACAAUAAGGAAAUAAAUAAGCAAACAACUUACGCUAGACUAUUACGACUACUAGUAAAGUGCACGUGCGUUGCCACGGGUUUUUGAAAUAGUUUACAAGAGUUACAUGUUAAAUUUCAAAUGUACAAACAAUAUAACACAAACACAAUUAUUGAAUAAUUGAAGUCCAUUUUUGCAAUGUAAAUUGAUAACAAAAAGAAAGACUAAUGACAUGUCCAUGUAACAAACUGAGCGAUGCUCGAACUAAACAUCUAUUACAAAACUAUCAAUAUCUAGACGAUGCGUUUAAGAAAUUAUUUCACAAUAUCAUGAAAGUUGUCUUUAGCUUCAUUCCCACGAUGUUUUAGCAAGUAUAAUAAAAACCGCUUCCUCAACUCAUACCCAUCCCGCACAAACAAUAUAUGUAGUUAGUAUGAAAAUUUCACGCCGAAGUUCUUAAAAUAUGUAAUGGACAAUACUCACUGGGCAAACCGGCUUGAUCAAUUCUUUACCGUCCCACUAGAACAUAAAAUCUCCACUACCUAAAAAAACCGUAUGGUUCCGUCUCCUCUCUUACGUCGCUAAGUUUCGUCGGACCUCCCACUUCCGAUAACCCCACACCGCUUCGUCCGCUGGUCCCAUCUUAUGUCCUGGUCUAUCUCCUUAAUCGCCGCCGAAAUCACCAGCCCCCGUUCCCAAAAUCCAUCACGGGAUGUCCUCGCUGCCAACUACAUCUGCUCCCAUCUACCCCGCCGCCCCGUUUCCCCUGAGUCCCCUCUCCCAAACCCCACGGUGAAUUCAGAUCCGACAUUCCGGUCUGGCGGGGAAGGCAGGUAUUGUGGCCAAGCGACAACGAUGAUGAGGAGACAACGAUGAUGAUAAGGAAGACCCUGGGGCCAUGUGACGGGAGCAAGUCACACAGACACAGGCGCUUCCUGACCAGCGGGAGACGCCGCAAUGGCUGCGAGGAGGAGGUUGCCAAGCGGGAGUGAGGAGUCUCCCGUGGUAGCCGGGGCCGCUGCUGAUUCAGACAAGGCGAGUAAGAGGGAUGCAGGCCAUGCCAGGGCCGCGCAGGAGGCGUCCACCACCGUACAACAUGCAUGGAGAUGAGGUGGCGGCUCGAGCUGCAGCGGGCGCGGCCAUACGAGCUCGUCGUCGGGAGGAGGGAGGCCACCGAGGGCAUCUAGCGGCAAAAGGAUCAGCUUUAGGUACAGAUCGAGCCGGUGCUACUGCUCUCUAGGGCUCUUGCCGCGCUGCACAACUACAAAUGCAGGUACGUGUUUCUUUCUCUCCACAUAUACUAAUAGAUUUGGCUGUGUUUUGUCCAAUAACAUCAAUCUCCUCAUUGCAAGAAUCUGAGGAGGGGUUAUCUGUGGAGAAGGCACGGCUUGGAGAUCUGGAGAGGCUGCUUAAGACGAGGCAGUAUUGUAUCCAGAUCCUGCCGAGUUAGACAUGCUGCACACGUUUUAAUGACAUAUCAGAUUUCCAUUCUUGAAGAUCACAUGUGCUUUGUGUCUUAUAUUUUU